Molecule: RNA transcript, 1898 nt
Organism: Piliocolobus tephrosceles (Ugandan red Colobus)
Lineage: Eukaryota; Metazoa; Chordata; Mammalia; Primates; Cercopithecidae
Gene name: putative protein FAM90A5P
Exons: 4
Source: RefSeq, a predicted model, not a curated record
AGGGCCCCAUUUGGGCCAAGGGCUCCCCCACCCGAUGAAGAAGAUCCCAGGGUCAAGUGCAAAAACUGCGGGGCCUUUGGCCACACGGCCAGAAGUACCAGGUGCCCCAUGAAGUGCUGGAACGGAGCCCUCGUUCCCCAGACCUUUGGGAGAAAGGAAGGGAAGGAAAACCUGAAACCAUGGAAGCCCCAGGUUUGAGGGAACCCGGGGCUCUUGAACAAGGAAAAGGGAGAGAAGGAAGAGAGACCAAGGCAACAAGACCCUCAGAGGAAGGCUCUCCUCCAGAUCCUUUCCGGGAAACCUCCGGAGAAGCCGCUGCCAAAUCGAAAAGAGUCCAUGGAAUCUUGUGAUUGCCUGAGGGUUGCAAGCAGGCCAAUGGCGGUCCACACAACCAAUAAGAGGCCACGCUUGGACCCUGCCCUCACUGAUGGCUCAGCUACCAAAAUGUCUGACACGGUAUCCGUCUUGGCUUCACUGUCGCCCCUGAGAAAAGCCAGGCUGAGCUCCUCGUCAAGUCUCCGACCAAAGGAACGACAGACAGGGGCCGUGGCCGACAUCCCUCAGCCUGGAGUCAGGCGGCAGGGCCCGGAGCCACUCGUCGUGGUGAAGCCGACACACAGCAGGCCUCAGCGUGGCUGUCGAGAAGUUCCCCAGGCUGCCUCCAAGCCCCACGGCCUGAUCCAGGUCAUCAGCCCCCAGGCACAAGACGAACGUCCUGCGGUGACCUCACAGCCCUGCCCACCAGCCGACACACACAGCUUGGGCCUCGGCUCCAAUCCCAGUUUCAGGUCAGGAGCCAAGAGACCUGCCCAGGCUCCGACUCAGGCUUGCCUGAACUUCCCCAAGAAACCGAGAAUGAGUCCGUUCCAGAUGCCUGAAAAUGCCAUCCAGGGAGGUGAGCUGGGGGCCCCAGAGACUCUCCAACCUCCGCCAGCUGCAACCGAACUCAGACCAAGUCCGUUGCCCCAGAUGAGCAGGGGGACACCCGCCCAGGUGCCCAGCAGCGACCGGCAGCCUCCGCACAGCAGACCUUGCCUGCCUAGUGUCCAGGCCUGCACCAUGUCCCAUCACCCAACGGCCAGCCACGAUGGGGCCCAGCCUCUCAGAAUGCUCUUCCGGAGACUGGAAAACGGAGGGUGGAGCUCCAGCCUCCAGCCUCCUGACAGCUCCCUCGUUUCCCUCUCCUGAGAAGCCGGGAGCCCUCCUUGCUCACAGCCCUCAUGUCUCAGAGAAGUCUGAGGCUCCCUGUGUUCCUGUCCCCCUGAGUGUCCUCUAUGAGGACCUUCAGGUUUCCUCCUCCUCAGAGGACAGCAAUUCUGACCUGGAGUGAGACUGCAGGUGGCCGGGGCUCCAUUGCAUCCAGCUCCCAUGACUUGGAGGGGUCUGUGGGACUGAGGAGCACAGAGCAGAGAGCAGACUGUGUGUGGUGACUCCCAAGCUCCCCAGCUGUGGUGCUUCUGUAGAUGUUGGAGCCCAGGCCAGGCAGGGACCAGAUGCAGAGACUCUGCCUCAUCGAAUUCUGGUGAGGGACAUUGUAGUUCGCAGGGCUCUCCGGAAACCCGCCACCAGAAGCUUCUGUGCCAGUGAUUCGUUGCCUCAGAAACUGGGUGACCAUGACGCGCGGGAGUCAGACUUCCGCUGUGAUGUCAGUAGGAAACUGAGGAAUGACUGUAUGUUUGCUCUCUAGAUGACUGAAUCAGGGAACAGUUAGGGAACCCUGAGAGAUGCAGGCCUUCAGCUGUGCCCCGCCCUGACAGCAGUGUUUUGGACACUGUGAAGGGUUCUGCGCAAAGCCUUCUUGGGGUGUUUCCUCAGCCUCGAAAAUUGGGCUCUGGAAUGCCAUUGGAAAUAGGUGUGUUUAAUUUGUUUUGAAGUGAAUAAAAUUCUCAAAAAGAUGA